CCCAGGAUAGCUCAGUUGAUCAGAGCAUGGUGCUGAUCACGCCAAGGUUGCAGGUUCGAUCUCUGUAUGGGA
Non-coding RNA from Podarcis lilfordi (Lilford's wall lizard), 72 nucleotides. NCBI's taxonomy places the organism in Eukaryota, Metazoa, Chordata, Lepidosauria, Squamata, Lacertidae. The record is from the annotation of a GenBank genome assembly.